CACCACAGGUUCUGUACCGGAAACAGAAUUGAUUAGUUCACCUCUGGAGUUUUUGGUUCACUUCACAGCCCCACUGCCUUCGGAAUAUGGGGCAGUCACAUGAUGAACGAAUGCCUCGAACCUGAAGACUUGAAACGUGAACUAAUCAAAUGUGACGUGACAAAAGAAGAACGAUUCGGAUCGGGAGGAGCUGAGUGCUUCCAGAGGCUGCGGGAGGUCCUUUGCUGCACCUUGGGCUUUACUUAAUUAAGGGUUGUUAUUAUUGCUGUGUUUAUUUGCAGUGAAUUUUGUGGGUAUGAUUCUGAUUAGUGGGGUGAUUUUCCCUUUUGUACAGCUGGUGCUGUCGUGCUAGCCUGCCCUUCACACAGGAAGCCUCAGUCUUCCUAUGAUUAUUGUUCAUUUUCUCUUGUGACUGUUUUAUUUGACCAACGCCUGACUGUGUUGGCUGCUUUUUUUAAAAAAAAAUUCUUGGCCAGUUUUUUUAACUUCAAAAUAAAAUGUAUUUUUGUAUGGAAACCCAUGCGUCUUGCCUAUUCUAAGUGGAACGUAUUUGUGUGUCUAUAUUUGGGUUAUUUUCCCCGUUUCCUCGGGGUGGCGUAGUUGUUGUAAAACGAGCCACAUUGCUGCACUCCCUCAUUAGCUUUGCUUACAAUAUCAAUAUGUAUAUGAACGGCUAGCCAUGAAAUAUAUCAAGAGAUUUGGUGAGAAUCUAUUACUUUGGUCCUGAUCGUGCUUGUGUACACUGUUUAUUACAUUUUUUAAUGACUUUUUUUUCUUUUCUUCAUAGAAUUAUUUCAGGCACAGAAGUAACUUUGUCUUUUUGUCAUAACCAAUAUGUAAAAAAUAUUAAACUUGCAUUUUUUGUUCUUUUACCUAAAGUAAAGUGUAACUUUAUGCACUUGGCAGCAGUGCUGUAGUACUUUGGAAUGGAACCUUAUGACCUUUGACCCGCACUGUGAAAAUUCAAAUGCCUUUUUUUUCAGUGUUGUUUGACAUGUUUCUGUGUUAUGUUUGUUUGAUGUUCUGUAAUGACUGAAUGUCAGCGCAGAAUUCACCAGACUUGUGUCAAUGGACCUGAGCAAGUUCUUUUAUGAGGGUCUUGACAAACACGCCUCAAAGCUGCUGUAUUUGUACCGCACAAGGCGCUAUGCAGACAACACAGAAAUGAGUGCCACAGUGGAGAACCUGGAUAAAAAUGCAUCAAAUCAACGGAAGAGGGUUGCAGUACAGUUGGGGCUGCCACUGUCCAUGCGGGAGAAUCCAUCUCAGUUCAUAAAGAUCUGUGAGAUGAUACAUUUCAGGAAGUUGAAAACCCCAAAAACUUCAAAUACACGUUUGAGGUCAUUCAGAGGCUGUUCAUGAACAUUGGAGCUGACGCCUGCAGUGCACGAGUACAUUCACUUAAAAAUAAACUGCUGAAGUAGAGAUGGGUAUUAUGCAUUUCUGUAAAAGAGAUUUCACGUGGUGGUGUGUUAUGUGUAUGUUAGUUUCUAAGACAGUUUUGUUUUAUAUUUUCACCUUUAAACACUGGGCAAAUGAAAUGUAAUUUUGUUAGGCAAAAACAGAUUUCUGCUUGCACUUUCUGUUUAUUUUGAGAAAUUCAUGUCAUUUAAUGUGUGUGUUUUUUUUUUUUUUUUUUUUUUUACAAUUGUAAUAGAUUUCUAUUUACUCAAAUUGAUCUUACCACAUUAUAAAAACCUUUUGCUUAAAGAGUUAAAAGAAACACUGGCUAUUGUAGCUCUGGAUAUUUGAAUCUGUUUGACUUGUUCUGUUUACAUUUGUAAAUUUAUAAGUGAAACAAUUGAUCAAGUCUUUCAUAUGGAAAAUGGGUUGUUAUUUAUUUGGUUGAACUUGCUAAUGUAAGUUAGGAAAAUAAGCCACAUUAAGUUAAAUGAACUUGAAUUUUAGUACAGAUAGCUUGAAAAAGUUAAGUUCACCUUACUUUUAUAACAGUAUUUCAACUGUACUCGGGAAGUCUGCAUUACUUGAAAGAGUAGUUGGGUCAAUUAUUUAAUUAUGUCAACAAAACUUUUUAAGUUGAAAUUACUUAUUUUACAUAAAUACAACUUAAAGUCAAAGCAAAAAGACAACUCAAUAAGUUAAGUUGCGUGAACAAAUAUUUUUUACAGCGUAUGCAAUGGGGCCUUCACUACACCAAGUUCAAUACCUUGAACUA
This is a long non-coding RNA of Ictalurus punctatus (channel catfish), 2176 nucleotides long. RefSeq lists it as uncharacterized. The transcript has 4 exons. The record is from RefSeq and is a predicted model, not a curated record. Lineage: Eukaryota; Metazoa; Chordata; Actinopteri; Siluriformes; Ictaluridae.